RNAcentral lists this ribosomal RNA (431 nucleotides) under uncultured bacterium. RNAcentral describes it as "partial 16S ribosomal RNA". It matches the Rfam family "Bacterial small subunit ribosomal RNA", at positions 29 to 507 of the family's 1533-position model. The record is from RNAcentral.
AACGAACGCUGGCGGCAGGCUUAACACAUGCAAGUCGAGCGCCCCGCCAGGGGAGCGGCAGACGGGUGAGUAACGCGUGGGAACGUACCUUUUGGUUCGGAACAACUCCGGGAAACUGGAGCUAAUACCGGAUAAGCCCUAACGGGGAAAGAUUUAUCGCCGAAAGAUCGGCCCGCGUCUGAUUAGCUAGUUGGUGAGGUAACGGCUCCCCAAGGCGACGAUCAGUAGCUGGUCUGAGAGGAUGAUCAGCCACACUGGGACUGAGACACGGCCCAGACUCCUACGGGAGGCAGCAGUGGGGAAUAUUGGACAAUGGGCGCAGGCCUGAUCCAGCCAUGCCGCGUGAGUGAUGAAGGCCUUAGGGUUGUAAAGCUCUUUUGUCCGGGAAGAUAAUGACUGUACCGGAAGAAUAAGCCCCGGCUAACUUCGUG